AUGAAUUAGGCCUUAUCUGCUCUGCAUGUUUUGAAUGGCUGUCUAUGGACAGGAUGAUGGGAUGAGUGAUACUGGAGGCAUUGCUGUAAAGGAACAAAGCAGGACUGGGGCACUUUGGUGUUCAAGUUCAAACAGAACCCCUCUUAUGGCAUAAGAGCGGACAGAAGGAUCUCGGUCUAGAGAGUGAAAGUGUCAGAUUAAAAUUCAUGAGCUAGAGCAUAAUCUUCGAGAGCAGAGACAAAGAACGGAGCAGCUGGAAUGUAAAAAGGUUUCUAAGAAGGCUAGAGCUGUUUCUGAAAAAAGAAGUCAAACCCCAGAGGGAGAAGCAACAUCUUGCAGACACAUAUAUAAAAAGAAGGAAUCCUGUUGCAGUACGUAUUUAGAGCUAUUGUUGAAGGAGAUUAAAAAGCUGAAGAAAGAAAAUGAAAAGUUGUCUGCAGAAAGGCGAGCACUAAGAAAUGAAUUAGCUGGAUUAGACAAGGAUUUUUUUGAAGAAAUAGAAGAUCUAAAGCAUGCAGUACAGGAAUCUGUGAAACUGAAUAAUCAGUAUGAGAAGUGCUUGAAACAAAUAAGUGCAAUUUAUGGACUUCCUUUAACAGCACCUUUGUGACUAUUAAUUUAAUGGCAAGUAAAUGUUCCGCAUAAUUUUUCAUACUCACUGCAGCAUUGAAACCUCAUCUGGUGUAUGUAGUGCCACUUUUUGAUAAUGUUAUGUGUUCAGGAAUAUGAUUUCAAUAUAACAAGCUAUUCUGAAAGGUUUUUGUAUUGUAUCUUUGAUUUUUGUUUAUAUAGUUUAAAAAUAAACAGUGGCAUGUCUAACUUCUAAGUUUCA
RNAcentral lists this long non-coding RNA (832 nucleotides) under Struthio camelus australis. RNAcentral describes it as "lncRNA (ENSSCUG00000014788.1)". Lineage: Eukaryota; Metazoa; Chordata; Aves; Struthioniformes; Struthionidae. The record is from RNAcentral.